This is a long non-coding RNA of Hyposmocoma kahamanoa, 1283 nucleotides long. RefSeq lists it as uncharacterized. The record is from RefSeq and is a predicted model, not a curated record. The transcript is spliced from 5 exons. NCBI's taxonomy places the organism in Eukaryota, Metazoa, Arthropoda, Insecta, Lepidoptera, Cosmopterigidae.
ACGUAACGAACGAUAAAUUGGUAGCCAAUGUUAAUCACUUUCUAUUCCAUCAAACGAAACGUCCAACUCGUUCGACAACUCCCAUAUAAACCGUAGCCAAAGUGACAAUUUUGACAAUCGCUUACGCUCGCUAUCUAUUCCAUCGAUCGAUUACGAAGCGAUCGCCAACACCUUGUAGAAAACGAAACAAAAUGGCGAUUUUAUAAUCAGCUGGUGAAAUUUUGUGUUGUGUUUGUGCAAAUUUUUAUAAAUAACUUUGAAAUGCAUUCGCUUCGACUCUUGUGGGCUGCUCAUAAUGAAGAAGUGUAGCUCAGGCGUCAAAAAAGAAACGUUUCUCGGCGGUCCUUGGAGCAAAUCGGCGAAAUGCCGGUUUUAUGUUUCGGGAACCAUUUAGAUUGGAUAAACGAGCAUUUGUUUCCACCUACGGGCCCAUACCUGUUUGAGAGGAACCGUAGCAUUUCUACUGGAAGUUAAGGUUUUUUGUGCCUUGACUUCCUUGGCGACAGGCUCUUACCAGUGGAUCGUGUGUGUCUCGCAACAUUUGCUGCAGCGAACAACUAGUCGUUGCAUUAGGCAAGUUGUGGAAGCCCUCAAUCAUCCGAAUGUAAUAAGUAAAUGGGUGUUCCCACAAACGCAACAAGUUAAGCCCAGAGGUUCCAAAUAAGAUUUCAUUUAUCUGGUGUAAUAGGGUGCAUUGACUGCACCCAUGUAACCAUUGUGAAGUCCAUGGUAGAUGAGCAUCUUUUUUAUAAAAGUAUACCACCCAUUAAAUGUACAAAUGAUUUAUGAUCAUAACUUAAAAAUUUUAAAUGUCGAUGCUAAGUAUGGUGGAGCCACACAUGACUCUUAUAUGGUCAUCCAGGCAAGUGGAACCAUACAUGCUUGCCCUUCAUCAAAAUGGUGAACAAACAGGCUAUUAGGUGAUUCUGGAUACCUACAAAGAGCCUGGCUAAUGAUGCCUAUCUUAAAUGCUGCAUCAGGGUCACCAGAAGAGAAUUACACCAGGCGUCUUAUCCAGGCCACAAAUUGUAUUGAACGGUGUUUUGGCUUGCUGAAGACACAUUGAAGAUGUUUACUUAAGCACUGAACACUUCAUUAACAUCUCCAAGUCACCAGUAAAAUAGUAAUUCCAUGUGGUGAACUGCAUAACAUUGCAUUGAAUGCCAAAUUACCCCCACCAGGUGAUAUGGCUGCGCAACGUGAUGUUAAGGGACUACCAGUAGUAGCCAAGAUGAGCUAAAACAUGGCAGAGCCAUGCCCAUUUCUUUAGUGAAUAGAUUGUG